Molecule: long non-coding RNA, 437 nt
Organism: Ochotona princeps (American pika)
Lineage: Eukaryota; Metazoa; Chordata; Mammalia; Lagomorpha; Ochotonidae
Exons: 3
Source: RefSeq, a predicted model, not a curated record
GUGCAUUCAAAAGUUAGUUAAGCCAUAGCUUCACCAAAUGUGAAUUUUUAAAUUUCUCAAUUGAGAUGACUGCUUUCUUCUCCACAGCCUUCAACAGAUGGAAGAAGCAGCAAAUGAACACAGUGAGGCAGCAGCACAAGAUCUUGACCAUAGAUGCCACCAGCUGAGACCCAACAGAUUAUUCCUAAGCAUAAGAUCAAUAAGUAGGCUUUGACAAGGUUUGCAAAUAAGUUGAAAGGAAUUGCUCAUCCCUGAACACUGCAGAUCAAAACCAGCCCCGAACAGAAACUAAGUCUGCCUUGCAUCAGCUGCACAGUCCUUGGAAACUUGCUACGUAUAAGCAGAAGCAGCAGCGGAGGGAAAACCAGAGCUUGUGAGGUUUUGACCUAAUGGGCCGCCUCACUCACAGUUCAGAUGUGUGUGAGUGCCGAAGAAGA